Molecule: transfer RNA, 72 nt
Filed under: Saccoglossus kowalevskii
Lineage: Eukaryota; Metazoa; Hemichordata; Enteropneusta; Harrimaniidae
Description: tRNA-Thr
Rfam family: tRNA
About the family: Transfer RNA (tRNA) molecules are approximately 80 nucleotides in length. Their secondary structure includes four short double-helical elements and three loops (D, anti-codon, and T loops).
Source: RNAcentral
GCUUCAGUGGCCAAGUGGUAAGGCGUCGGUCUCGUAAACCGAAGAUCAUGGGUUCGAACCACAUCUGAGACU